UACAGAGGUCCCAAGCGUUGUUCGGAUUCACUGGGCGUAAAGGGUGCGUAGGUGGCUUGGUACGUUUGAUGUGAAAUCUCCGGGCUUAACCCGGAAAUGGCAUUGAAUACUAUUGAGCUGGAGGUUUGGAGGGGGGACUGGAAUUCUCGGUGUAGCAGUGAAAUGCGUAGAUAUCGAGAGGAACACCAGUGGCGAAGGAGAGUCUCUGGACAUUUCCUAACGCUGAGGCACGAAAGCCAGGGGAGCAAACGGG
RNAcentral lists this ribosomal RNA (253 nucleotides) under uncultured bacterium. RNAcentral's name for it is "partial 16S ribosomal RNA". It matches the Rfam family "Bacterial small subunit ribosomal RNA", at positions 524 to 776 of the family's 1533-position model. The record is from RNAcentral.